This 454-nucleotide ribosomal RNA is filed under the name uncultured bacterium. RNAcentral's name for it is "bacterial SSU rRNA". It matches the Rfam family "Bacterial small subunit ribosomal RNA", at positions 340 to 786 of the family's 1533-position model. The record is from RNAcentral.
UACGGAAGGCAGCAGUGGGGAAUAUUGCACAAUGGGCGCAAGCCUGAUGCAGCCAUGCCGCGUGUAUGAAGAAGGCCUUCGGGUUGUAAAGUACUUUCAGCGGGGAGGAAGGCGAUGCGGUUAAUAACCGCGUCGAUUGACGUUACCCGCAGAAGAAGCACCGGCUAACUCCGUGCCAGCAGCCGCGGUAAUACGGAGGGUGCAAGCGUUAAUCGGAAUUACUGGGCGUAAAGCGCACGCAGGCGGUCUGUUAAGUCAGAUGUGAAAUCCCCGGGCUUAACCUGGGAACUGCAUUUUGAAACUGGCAGGCUUGAGUCUUGUAGAGGGGGUAGAAUUCCAGGUGUAGCGGUGAAAUGCGUAGAGAUCUGGAGGAAUACCGGUGGCGAAGGCGGCCCCUGGGACAAGACUGACGCUCAGGUGCGAAAGCGUGGGGAGCGAAACAGGAUUAGAUACC